CGCGGCUACCAUGCAGUCGACGGUGAAGCUCAGCUUGCUGGGUGGAUCAGUGGCGAACGGGUGAGUAACACGUGAGCAAUCUGCCCCUGACUCUGGGAUAAGCGCUGGAAACGGCGUCUAAUACUGGAUACGAACCGUGGAGGCAUCUUCAACGGUUGGAAAGAUUUUUUGGUCAGGGAUGAGCUCGCGGCCUAUCAGCUUGUUGGUGAGGUAAUGGCUCACCAAGGCGUCGACGGGUAGCCGGCCUGAGAGGGUGACCGGCCACACUGGGACUGAGACACGGCCCAGACUCCUACGGGAGGCAGCAGUGGGGAAUAUUGCACAAUGGGCGAAAGCCUGAUGCAGCAACGCCGCGUGAGGGAUGACGGCCUUCGGGUUGUAAACCUCUUUUAGCAGGGAAGAAGCGAAAGUGACGGUACCUGCAGAAAAAGCGCCGGCUAACUACGUGCCAGCAGCCGCGGUAAUACGUAGGGCGCAAGCGUUAUCCGGAAUUAUUGGGCGUAAAGAGCUCGUAGGCGGUUUGUCGCGUCUGCUGUGAAAUCCCGAGGCUCAACUUCGGGUCUGCAGUGGGUACGGGCAGACUAGAGUGCGGUAGGGGAGAUUGGAAUUCCUGGUGUAGCGGUGGAAUGCGCAGAUAUCAGGAGGAACACCGAUGGCGAAGGCAGAUCUCUGGGCCGUAACUGACGCUGAGGAGCGAAAGGGUGGGGAGCAAACAGGCUUAGAUACCCUGGUAGUCCACCCCGUAAACGUUGGGAACUAGUUGUGGGGUCCAUUCCACGGAUUCCGUGACGCAGCUAACGCAUUAAGUUCCCCGCCUGGGGAGUACGGCCGCAAGGCUAAAACUCAAAGGAAUUGACGGGGACCCGCACAAGCGGCGGAGCAUGCGGAUUAAUUCGAUGCAACGCGAAGAACCUUACCAAGGCUUGACAUAUACGAGAACGCUGCAGAAAUGUAGAACUCUUUGGACACUCGUAAACAGGUGGUGCAUGGUUGUCGUCAGCUCGUGUCGUGAGAUGUUGGGUUAAGUCCCGCAACGAGCGCAACCCUCGUUCUAUGUUGCCAGCACGUAAUGGUGGGAACUCAUGGGAUACUGCCGGGGUCAACUCGGAGGAAGGUGGGGAUGACGUCAAAUCAUCAUGCCCCUUAUGUCUUGGGCUUCACGCAUGCUACAAUGGCCGGUACAAAGGGCUGCAAUACCGUGAGGUGGAGCGAAUCCCAAAAAGCCGGUCCCAGUUCGGAUUGAGGUCUGCAACUCGACCUCAUGAAGUCGGAGUCGCUAGUAAUCGCAGAUCAGCAACGCUGCGGUGAAUACGUUCCCGGGUCUUGUACACACCGCCCGUCAAGUCAUGAAAGUCGGUAACACCUGAAGCCGGUGGCCCAACCCUUGUGGAGGGAGCCGUCGAAGGUGGGAUCGGUAAUUAGGACUAAGUCGAUCAAG
This 1438-nucleotide ribosomal RNA is filed under the name Microbacterium sp. Its description in RNAcentral is "bacterial SSU rRNA". It matches the Rfam family "Bacterial small subunit ribosomal RNA". Lineage: Bacteria; Bacillati; Actinomycetota; Actinomycetes; Micrococcales; Microbacteriaceae. The record is from RNAcentral.